UACGUAGGGGGCAAGCGUUGUCCGGAUUUAUUGGGCGUAAAGAGCGUGUAGGCGGCCAGGUAGGUCAGCUGUGAAAACUCGAGGCUCAACCUCGAGACGUCGGUUGAAACCACCUGGCUAGAGUCCGGAAGAGGAGAGUGGAAUUCCUGGUGUAGCGGUGAAAUGCGCAGAUAUCAGGAAGAACACCCGUGGCGAAGGCGGCUCUCUGGUACGUGACUGACGCUGAGACGCGAAAGCGUGGGGAGCAAACAGG
Molecule: ribosomal RNA, 253 nt
Filed under: uncultured bacterium
Lineage: Bacteria
Description: partial 16S ribosomal RNA
Rfam family: Bacterial small subunit ribosomal RNA
Source: RNAcentral